RNAcentral lists this transfer RNA (72 nucleotides) under Enterobius vermicularis (human pinworm). It matches the Rfam family "tRNA". From Rfam's summary of the family: Transfer RNA (tRNA) molecules are approximately 80 nucleotides in length. Their secondary structure includes four short double-helical elements and three loops (D, anti-codon, and T loops). Lineage: Eukaryota; Metazoa; Nematoda; Chromadorea; Rhabditida; Oxyuridae. The record is from Rfam by way of RNAcentral.
GGGGGCAUAGCUCAGUGGCAGAGCAUUCGACUGCAGAUCGAGAGUUCUCCGGUUGAAAUCCGGGUGCUUCCU